CGCGCGGCCGGGGUGUGAGGCGGCCCGAGCUGAGAGCCUUCGCUCUGCGCACCGAGUGCGUUCUCGUGGGUGUCCUGACUGACCGAACGCCUCAGAAAUCCCCGAUACUUCAUCGCAGGUUGCGUGGUCCUUCAUCGCGGCUUCGCGGAGCUGAGGGAUUGAUCAGCAGUGGACUUUGGCCCUUGACUAAAGGUUUUCACCAUAGACCAGGUCACAGUGAUUGUACUGGAAACCAUUCUGGAUAAAAUGAUAUCCACGUGGUUGAAGAAGAUGAAGGUGGUGCAGAUGGCCACGCUGACACUAUUGAUCCCAUUUAACAGUUUGGACUGUGACCAUGUUACAAUGCAGUGCACUGGCUGUGCAAGGAACUGAGUGCUUUUAAAGGGAAAUACAUGCAUUCUAACAAAAUCUUUCAUCCUCUUGCUUUUUCAUUUGUUUCUAAGCAAGACGUGGAGACUCCUCAGUCCAAGCUUUGCCUGUGCUGACCAGAGUUAGCUGUUCUACCCUGCUGGAAACACCCAGCCUGCUGCCUACUUGCCUGAGUUCUUACUCACGUCUUGAUUUGUUCUGAAUCCACCUUCACCUCAAAGCACAUCAGCCCAGGCUUUUACAAGGGAAUAAUUCUUUAUGCAUCUGAGUGCAAGUAAUAUGUGAAAAUGCAAAGGUUAUAUACAAUCAAA
Molecule: long non-coding RNA, 680 nt
Filed under: Gallus gallus (chicken)
Lineage: Eukaryota; Metazoa; Chordata; Aves; Galliformes; Phasianidae
Description: long non-coding RNA NONGGAT008638
Source: RNAcentral